AAGAUGACUUGGGUCUGAGCACUGCGCAUGCCUAAAACCCUGCUUGUUAAGACUAGAUCUGAAAGUGAGCUGGCACCAGCCCAUCUCACCCCAAGCUGUUGUCUGAACCGCUUCACACCCAUGCAGGGAUCCGGGCUUAGAAGGAGCUAAACAGGGACAGACAUGAGAUCUAGGCCGGUGGAGACUCCAAUGAGUUUGGUUUAAAGUGGGGGAAACACCUCUGAGCCGACUAGCGCUUCCGCACCCGCACCCGUCAUAAAGAGCUGUCUGAGCGCCUCCACCCAGGCUGGCUGCUGGCCUCUUUAAAAUCAGCCCUGGCGACCUGUGAUUCUUUUUUUUCUCUGUGCCAUGGAUGGCCUGGCAGCCAAUUGCUGCUGGCCCUGGAGCUGGCUGCAGCCAACUUGCCCUGCCUGUGACCCGCAAAUGGCUCGCCCUGGCUGGAUGAAUUGGAAAGCCAACUUACUUCUGGAAGUUCAGCCUGAUCUGAUCCUGCUUGUCAGUGAUGAAGUGAAAACAAAAUACUAGGAGGCCCACACCAGGGUUUCUCUGACAGAGAGGACUGACAAGGCAGUAACAGCUCUGAGGACCGUCAGCGUUACCGGAAAAAUAAAACCUGAAGGCUUGGAGGCCGAACAAUGAACCUACAGGGUCUCACUUUGUAUGCCUCGUGCUGGCUGGAAACUCACUGUGUGGAACCCACUGGCCUCAAACCUGUGGCAAUUCUCCUGCUUCAUCUUCCUGAGGGUUGGGAUUGCAAGUGACUCCUACUACCCCUGGCUAUAAAUCUUUAACUGGACCUGGUUCAUUGACUUCACAGACCAUUGAAGACAAAAGCCACCAAAUUUCCUUUUUCUGUUUUGAAAUGUCUCUCUUUAUAGCCCAGACUGGCUUUAAAUUUGCUGUGUAGCUGAGGCUGGCCUGUCAAUCCUGCUUUUACCUGAAGAGUACUGGGAUCGUAGUCAGUUUUGGGGUUUUGUACCAUGUUAGGAAGGAGGAAAUAACAGAAGGAGGAAGACAGACGUUUCCAGAAUCAGUCUGUCAGGGUGAAGCUGCAGCUCCUAGAAACCAAAGACUCAUGCAGACAAAAUCGUCUGCUACUUACUAAAAGCAUGGUGACUCUGUUAGCACCAUGCUCUAACCACCUGAUCUAACUGACCAAACUUCUUUGUGCCUCUGAUUUCCCAACAGCCUCUCACGAUCCUGCUUCAGUUGAGCCUCUGCUCAGAAAUCUUCAGGAAGAAGUCAACCCAAGACCCCAGCUUCCUCGGGCCCCACCUCUGUGCCCCCUGCUGACUGAAGGUGGUUGGCAAAGCCUCUCCCAGCUGAGAAACCUGCUGGAGGCUCUCAGGGCUGUGGAGUGGCUCAAGCUACUUCCAGUUUCUGUAGUUCCCGCUUUAUGAAAAGGAAAGAAAGAAGAACUGGCUCCUACAUUGUCACCACUGUGUGCUACAGAUACUCAUAGUGAGGUGCCAUGGAUGCCAAAAGCCCUUCAUCCUUUUUUUAGAGAGAGUGACUCUCACUGAG
This 1524-nucleotide long non-coding RNA is filed under the name Cricetulus griseus (Chinese hamster). RNAcentral's name for it is "lncRNA (ENSCGRG00015037478.1)". The record is from RNAcentral. Lineage: Eukaryota; Metazoa; Chordata; Mammalia; Rodentia; Cricetidae.